ACCACGCCCCCUUCCUCCUUUUUAUCAUUUCUCUGGCUCCUCCCACUUUUAACCUUUUAAAUUCUCUCUCUCUUCCUCUCUCUGAAAUUCUAGGGUUUUUAAUUUUGUUUGAUUUCUCAAAUUUCCCGAAUAAUCACUUCUUCAAAUCAUUUCUAGGGUUUCUUUUCGAUGGAGUCGAUUAGGUCACCCUAUUGGUGUUACAGAUGCAACCGGUUCAUCAGGAUCCGGGUCCGAUCCCCCCAAGAUUCGAUCCAUUGCCCCGAUUGCGGCGGCGGCUUCAUUGAAGAAAUUGAAACACCCUCUCGAUCUCCCAUCCACCAACGUUUCCCAGCCGCUGCCAUGUACUCUGACACUCCCAGCCCAGCUCUGAGCCCUAGCCCCACUGCUACUCCUCGUUUCCGCCGAGCUCGUCGAAACGCUGGCGAUCGGUCCCCUUUCAACCCCGUUGUUGUCCUCCGUGGACCCAGCUCGGAAACCGACGGCGUAGCUCCUGAAAGAGGAAAUAACAAUUUCGAGCUUUAUUACGAUGAUGGGUCCGGGUCGGGUCUUCGUCCCUUACCUGCUAGCAUGUCGGAAUUUUUAAUGGGUUCGGGUUUUGAUCGGCUUCUUGAUCAAUUAUCUCAAUUAGAAGUAAACGGUGUCGCUCGUUUCGAACAACCGCCUGCUUCGAAAGCGGCGAUUGAAUCAAUGCCAGUGAUUAAGAUCGUUGGAAGUCACGUUAGCACGGAAUCUCACUGUGCCGUUUGUAAAGAGCCUUUCGAGCUCGAUUCUGAAGCUCGGGAAAUGCCUUGUAAGCAUAUUUAUCAUUCGGAUUGUAUUUUACCUUGGCUUUCAAUUCGAAACUCUUGUCCAGUUUGCCGCCAUGAGUUGCCAACGGAAAGUAGCGGAAAUAAUUUAGGGGAAAACGAGGCGGUUAGAGACGAAGAAGCUGUGGGGUUAACCAUAUGGAGGUUACCGGGAGGUGGGUUUGCGGUGGGCAGGUUUACUGGAGGGAGGAGAGCGGCGGAGAGGGAGUUUCCGGUAGUGUUUACGGAGAUGGAUGGGGGGUUUAAUAAUGCGGGUGCUCCUAGAAGGAUUUCGUGGGCGCCUAGUGGGAGAAGGUCGCAAGAGAGUAGAGGAUUGGGGCGGGUUUUUCGGAGUUUUAUUUCGUUUUUCGGGAGGUUUAGGAGUUCUUCAUCUCGUUCAGGUUCGGAUUCUGGGUUUACGAGGAGAAGUAGAUCGAGUUCAGUGUUUGAUAGGUCAUCUAGAAGGGAUAGCGACUGGGAUUUCGAGGAUUGAAGGAUGGUUGAGUGUAUUUUUUGUUUAUUUUUAGGUUAACCUUUUUUUUUCCUUUUUUAAUCUGAUACAAUAAUGUUGCAGUUUUCCUCAAGGGAAGGAAUGUUUGUAGAUUGUAUGAUUUUACUUUGAUGUAAAUAACAACACUUUUGGUGAAGGAAUGAAGAUUGCUCAAGUUUACUUUCUGUCAAAAGAGAAAGAAGUUUUGAACUGGUUGGAGCCGUUAUGUAUCCCAAUGAGGCAGAAGAAGAAGAAGAAGAAGAAAUGGAUGAAGGAGAAAGUUUUGUGCUUUGUAUGAACCUUCAGAGGUCACUGAGGCAUUUGCUUCUUCAGUGGAUGUGAGUUUGAAUGGUAAAAAUUAGCAGUCAUAUGAUGCUUUUAUUUCACAGAAGUUAUCUUGGAGAAAGACGGCCAAACGCCGCAAUCAAGAAUUUCUGCUUUGUAGAAAAGUUAGGAGGCAGAUAUAUAGAUCUUGUUUCCAGUAGUUUUCAAUCACAGUUGUUCCAAUGUGAAUGUAUGAUGUAGAUCUCCAUUUCUUUUAUAUGCUUGGCAUGUUAUAAGUAUUGAUGUUUUUCUUUGAUUUUCUUAGUAUUCUCAAAUUAGAAGGCCAGUUAAAGUGCCUUUGUGAUUACUUGUAAUUGUCAUGCCUCUGUCUCUUUUGUUCACGGACUGGGAUCUUGAUCUUGAAAAAUUGUGAUGUAAAGUUUUCGAAAAUUCGAUUGAUGAUUUAACCAUCUAUAUCUAUAUAAAGAAUCCUUUUGAUCAACAGUUCUCCACUAUUAACUUGUGUUUUGUGUAGACAUUCAGGGUCAAUGUUGUCAACACUUUGUUGGACAUCAUGCGUGUGGUGAAAUAAUGUUGAUUACUAGUAUUCAUUCAUUUUAGGUUGAAAUAUUUGACAGCAGAACCCGUAGUCAGAAUCUAAUCCAGUUCAACUAGUUUGCGACUUUGUGUUAACUGACUUACAGAAGUAAAUGCUAACGGUUGUUGUCGUUGGCACUUGGGCAUACUGCUGUCAUAAUUGUUACCAAGGCUCGUUAUGGAAAUGUGGCAUGUGAAGGUCAAUUUUGGCUUUUGAAAUGUUUGGUUUUCUGUCGGAAAUAGCAUCAAACUGGCAAUGUGGAUGUUUUUUUAUAGAAGUUAGCCUCUCUGUUGAGUGUUUGCAUGACUGGCAGAAGGUAGUGUAGAGGUUUGUGUGUCUGAACUGCCAAUUUGGGAUUACUCAUUGCAUAUGAUCAAGAAUCAGGGCGUUUGAGCAUUAUUCAAGAAUAUUCACUACAUAGGUGCUACUCUAUUCCUCUGUUUUUGUUGCUGUACAUGAAUUUAACAGAACCAUUGGAGCGAACUUGAUACAUGAUAAACUCAAAAUUUGGUCGUCAGCCAACGUAAAUUGAUUGGAUAAUGGAAAACCCAUUUUCAAAAGUCACUUUCUCUUUUGAUCAUCAUCCAUUAAAGGGUGAAAAUGGCUCACCAAUCAAUGGAAUAAAUGGGGAAGGGAAUCAUUUUUUGGGUUUCGUACAGCAUUGCUC
Theobroma umbraticum is the source of this 2804-nucleotide RNA transcript. It is a transcript of the gene named putative E3 ubiquitin-protein ligase RHC2A pseudogene, with no coding region annotated. The record is from RefSeq and is a predicted model, not a curated record. Lineage: Eukaryota; Viridiplantae; Streptophyta; Magnoliopsida; Malvales; Malvaceae.